UAUGCGCAAUGAACAUUUUUGGACGUAUUUCUGAGCCCUUGUCUGGCUAUCCAGUCAUUAGCCUUUCCUGAGUCCAGCUUUUAUGAAGAUAGAAGGUUGAAGUCUUUAAAGGAGGAUUGCCACCGGAAUGGCAAAUUCUGCAAAAGAGAGCCUUGGAUCCAGAUUCUCCUUAUGGUGUCAUGAAAGCAGAGAAUAUGACAGGAGAAGGACACCAUUUACUCAUGCUCUGCAGUCGGAGCAAAUAAUAGCAAAAAGCCAUUACCUUUACAAAUGGGUAUAUUACGUAAAACAUGCCAGUAACUUAAAAGUUUUUUCUUUGCAGAUGAAACUGAGAGGCAGAAAUGACUUAUACAAAGCCACACAAGAGAGAAAAAUCACACCAUGACAGUUUGAUUCCAGAACCCAUCCUCUUCACCUCUAUGCCAUAUAAUGUGCAUAUGUACAUAUGCACAUGUACAUACAAGUAUAUAUGUGCACAUUUGUGUGAAUACACAGAAACUUAU
Molecule: long non-coding RNA, 503 nt
Organism: Canis lupus familiaris (dog)
Lineage: Eukaryota; Metazoa; Chordata; Mammalia; Carnivora; Canidae
Exons: 4
Source: RefSeq, a predicted model, not a curated record